GAAAUGCGAUAAGUAGUGUGAAUUGCAGAAUUCAGUGAAUCAUCGAAUCUUUGAACGCACAUUGCGCCCCUUGGUAUUCCAUGGGGCAUGCCUGUUCGAGCGUCAUUUGUACCCUCAAGCUCUGCUUGGUGUUGGGUGUUUGUCCCGUCUCCGCGCGUGGACUCGCCCCAAAGUGAUUGGCAGCCGGCGUACUGGUCCCGGAGCGCAGCACACGUCGCGCAAACGAGUGCCUUGGUACGGCGGCGUCCAUAAGCCCCUCUCUCACGCUCUUGACCUCGGAUCAGGUAGGGAUACCCGCUGAACUUAAGC
Molecule: unclassified non-coding RNA, 309 nt
Filed under: plant metagenome
Description: partial contains 5.8S ribosomal RNA, internal transcribed spacer 2, and large subunit ribosomal RNA
Rfam family: 5.8S ribosomal RNA (bases 1-105)
Source: RNAcentral